UCAGUAGCCGGCCUGAGAGGGUGAACGGCCACAUUGGGACUGAGACACGGCCCAAACUCCUACGGGAGGCAGCAGUGGGGAAUAUUGCACAAUGGGGGAAACCCUGAUGCAGCGACGCCCGUGAGGAAGAAGUAUUUCGGUAUGUAAACUCUAUCAGCAGGGAAGAAAAUGACGGUACCUGACUAAGAAGCCCCGGCUAACUACGUGCCAGCAGCCGCGGUAAUACGUAGGGGGCAAGCGUUAUCCGGAUUUACUGGGUGUAAAGGGAGCGUAGACGGCUUUGCAAGUCUGACGUGAAACUCCGGGGCUCAACUCGGAACUGCGUUGGAAACUGUAAGGCUUGAGUGCCGGAGAGGUAAGCGGAAUUCCUAGUGUAGCGGUGAAAUGCGUAGAUAUUAGGAGGAACACCAGUGGCGAAGGCGGCUUACUGGACGGCAACUGACGUUGAGGCUCGAAAGCGUGGGGA
RNAcentral lists this ribosomal RNA (466 nucleotides) under uncultured bacterium. RNAcentral describes it as "bacterial SSU rRNA". It matches the Rfam family "Bacterial small subunit ribosomal RNA", at positions 280 to 767 of the family's 1533-position model. The record is from RNAcentral.